Molecule: ribosomal RNA, 253 nt
Filed under: uncultured bacterium
Lineage: Bacteria
Description: partial 16S ribosomal RNA
Rfam family: Bacterial small subunit ribosomal RNA
Source: RNAcentral
GACGAAGGGGGCUAGCGUUGUUCGGAAUUACUGGGCGUAAAGCGCGUGUAGGCGGUUGUCCAAGUUGGAUGUGAAAGCCUUGAGCUUAACUCAAGAAAUGCAUUCAGGACUGGAUGACUAGAGGACCGGAGAGGAUAGUGGAAUUCCCAGUGUAGUGGUGAAAUACGUAGAGAUUGGGAAGAACACCAGUGGCGAAGGCGGCUAUCUGGACGGUUUCUGACGCUAAGGAGCGAAAGCGUGGGGAGCGAACAGG